RNAcentral lists this ribosomal RNA (406 nucleotides) under uncultured bacterium. RNAcentral describes it as "partial 16S ribosomal RNA". It matches the Rfam family "Bacterial small subunit ribosomal RNA", at positions 29 to 526 of the family's 1533-position model. The record is from RNAcentral.
AUUGAACGCUGGCGGCAGGCUUAACACAUGCAAGUCGAACGAGUGGCGGACGGGUGAGUAAUGCUAGGGAAUCUGGCCCAUGGAGGGGGAUAACGACGGGAAACUGUCGCUAAUACCGCGCACCAUAGGAUGAGCCCAGGUGGGAUUAGGUAGUUGGUGGGGUAAUGGCCUACCAAGCCGACGGUCCCUAGCUGGUCUGAGAGGAUGACCAGCAACACCGGGCCUGAGACACGGCCAAGGCUCCUACGGGAGGCAGCAAUGGUGAAAAUUGCGAAAUGGACGACAGUCUGACGGAGCAACGUGGCGUGGGGGAUGACGGCCUUCGGGUUGUAAAGGUCUGUUGAUCGGGAGACGGUACCGGAAUAGAAAGCCACGGCUAACUACGUGCCAGCAGCCGCGGUAAUAC